AUCAGUCCUUGGUAGGACUUGAUAGAGUCCUUGGCUCUCUGUCCAUGGCUAGCUGACUACCGGCCAGAACACUGGAUUUAGAUCCUUGAAGCAAGACUAAGACACCAAUGCAGACACCCUGACAUCUAGGGACAGGUAGAAACGGCAGCCUGUCUCUCAGGCUGAUAUAAGGACAGAUUGGAACAUUGAAUGAGGUACCCUGGCCUUUCCUCAUUGGCUUCCUCAUCUAGAACAUCGUGUUAGCUAUAAACACGAUCGCUCGCUUCAGAAGCAGAGUCCUACAGUACUAGAUUCCAGCAGCUUCAACUCAACCCAAGGACUGGACAAGCUGACUCCGACCCACCGCCUAUGCUGUAAAUAAAGUUUCACUGGAGCUCAGCCACAUCUACUCAUGGUAUGUAGUGGAUGGCAACUUUUGCAAAGCAAAGACAGAACUCUGAAGCUUCAAUGGCCAUAGGAAAGAAAGAAAGAAAGAAAGAAAGAAAGAAAGAAAGA
Molecule: non-coding RNA, 495 nt
Organism: Rattus norvegicus (Norway rat)
Lineage: Eukaryota; Metazoa; Chordata; Mammalia; Rodentia; Muridae
Source: RefSeq, a predicted model, not a curated record